RNAcentral lists this ribosomal RNA (496 nucleotides) under uncultured bacterium. RNAcentral describes it as "partial 16S ribosomal RNA". It matches the Rfam family "Bacterial small subunit ribosomal RNA", at positions 29 to 507 of the family's 1533-position model. The record is from RNAcentral.
AUGCACGCUGGCGGCGUGCCUAAUACCUGCCAGUCGAGCGAACGUACGAGAAGCUUGCUUCUCUGAUGUUAGCGGCGGACGGGUGAGUAACACGUGGAUAACCUACCUAUAAGACUGGGAUAACUUCGGGAAACCGGAGCUAAUACCGGAUGAUAUUUUUAACCGCCUGGUUCAAAAGUGAAAGACGGUCUUGCUGUCACUUAUAGAUGGAACCGCGCUGCAUUAGCUAGUUGGUAAGGUAACGGCUUACCAAGGCAACGAUGCAUAGCCGACCUGAGAGGGUGAUCGGCCACACUGGAACUGAGACACGGUCCAGACUCCUACGGGAGGCAGCAGUAGGGAAUCUUCCGCAAUGGGCGAAAGCCUGACGGAGCAACGCCGCGUGAGUGAUGAAGGUCUUCGGAUCGUAAAACUCUGUUAUUAGGGAAGAACAUAUGUGUAAGUAACUGUGCACAUCUUGACGGUACCUAAUCAGAAAGCCACGGCUAACUACGUG